CACACACACAGAAGAGAUGUAGUCCAGAGCUUCGAGCAAGAAGAGCAGCAUCCAGAGCACUCUCAGUUAGCUUAGUAGUAGUACCAACACCACUUGUAAAAUAGCCACUAUAUCGAAGAUGUUGUAAUCGCCAAGAAUAAUAAGGUAUCUUUUUCAGCUUGUGUAACCCCUUUGGGGCCUCCCGAAAGGGAGAACCACAUGUAAAUUAUGUUGUGAAAAUGAUGUAGUUUCGUGCUUCACUUGGGUUUUUUAUUUAUGAAUUUAUGGGAUGAGUUCUUAUGUUAGGGACCCUACAGGAGAAACUCUGCUAGUAGUUCUCUGUUUAGCCUUGUGUGGCGUUUGAAUGAGAACAUUAUGCCCGUAGAGAAGUGUUUCCUUCAGGUGAAAUUGCCUGCGAAGACGAUAGGAAUUUAUCCCAUAAGUUUGCAUUUAAAAAGAUCAAGUGAACGAACCUAGCUACAUCUGAAAACAACAUAAUGAAAAAUAUGAUGAGUACUAAGUAGGAUACAACACCACUGCGCACAUCACCGGUUGUACUGUUGGCCUCACCAGCCCUUAAUAGAUCAAGCAUUAGAAAAUAACUAGCUUGGUAAAGAAUAGAACCUGCAAACAAUAGCAAAGAAUUAAAUAUUGUAGUGAAUAGUGAAUACUAUUCAAAUAGAAUAUUAGCGUAAUCGUAGAUUAGCCUAAUCGCAUAUUAGCUUAUUAACUUAAUUGCAUAUUAGGCCAUUAGGUUAAUAUUCUAUUUGAAUAGUAUUCACUAUUCACUAUAAUAUUUAAUUCUUUGCCGCUGUUUGCACGUUCUAUUCUUUAUUAAGCUGAUUAUUUUUUAAUGUAGCAUCUAUUAAGGGAUGACGAGGCCAACAAUACGACUAGUGGUGUGGGUAGUGAUGUGAUAUCCUACUCAGUACUCAUCAUAUUUUUCUUUAUGUUGUUUUCAGAUGUAGCUAGGUUCGUUCACUUGAUGUUUUUGAAUACAAACUUAUGGGGUAAAUACCUAUCGUCUUUCCAGCGGUUGCACCCGAAGGGAAUACUUCUCUACGACCACAACAUUCUCAUUCAAACACCACAAAAGGCUAAACAGAGAACUACUGAUGGAGGUUUCUGAUGACCCACAAGUGUAGGGGAUCUAUCGUAGCCUUUUCGAUAAGUAAGAGUGUCGAACCCAACGAGGAGCAGAAGGAAAUGACAAGCGGUUUUCAGUAAGGUACUCUCUGCAAGCACUGAAAUUAUCGGUAACAGAUAGUUUUGUGAUAAGGUAAUUUGUAACGGGUAACAAGUAAUGAAAGUAAAUAAGGUGCAGCAAGAUGGCCCAAUCCUUUUUGUAGCAAAGGACAAGCCUGAACAAACUCUUAUAUAAGGGAAAACGCUCCCGAGGACACAUGGGAAUUAUCGUCAAGCUAGUUUUCAUCACGCUCAUAUGAUUCGCGUUCGUUACUUUGAUAAUUUGGUAUGUGGGUGGACCGGUGCUUGGGUGCUGUCCUUCCUUGGACAAGCAUCCCACUUAUGAUUAACCCCUAUUGCAAGCAUCCGCAACUACAAAAGAAGU
RNAcentral lists this long non-coding RNA (1549 nucleotides) under Triticum aestivum (bread wheat). RNAcentral's name for it is "long non-coding RNA (TAES_LNC023824)". Lineage: Eukaryota; Viridiplantae; Streptophyta; Magnoliopsida; Poales; Poaceae. The record is from RNAcentral.